UACGUAGGGUGCGAGCGUUAAUCGGAAUUACUGGGCGUAAAGCGUGCGCAGGCGGUUGUGCAAGACAGGUGUGAAAUCCCCGGGCUUAACCUGGGAAUGGCAUUUGUGACUGCACGGCUAGAGUGUGUCAGAGGGGGGUAGAAUUCCACGUGUAGCAGUGAAAUGCGUAGAGAUGUGGAGGAAUACCGAUGGCGAAGGCAGCCCCCUGGGAUAACACUGACGCUCAUGCACGAAAGCGUGGGGAGCAAACAGG
This 253-nucleotide ribosomal RNA is filed under the name uncultured bacterium. RNAcentral describes it as "partial 16S ribosomal RNA". It matches the Rfam family "Bacterial small subunit ribosomal RNA", at positions 524 to 776 of the family's 1533-position model. The record is from RNAcentral.